Molecule: ribosomal RNA, 433 nt
Filed under: uncultured bacterium
Lineage: Bacteria
Description: partial 16S ribosomal RNA
Rfam family: Bacterial small subunit ribosomal RNA
Source: RNAcentral
AACGAACGCUGGCGGCAUGCCUAACACAUGCAAGUCGAACGAUCCCUUCGGGGAUAGUGGCGCACGGGUGCGUAACGCGUGGGAACCUGCCCUUAGGUUCGGAAUAACUCAGAGAAAUUUGAGCUAAUACCGGAUAAUGUCUUCGGACCAAAGAUUUAUCGCCUUUGGAUGGGCCCGCGUUGGAUUAGCUAGUUGGUGGGGUAAAGGCCUACCAAGGCGACGAUCCAUAGCUGGUCUGAGAGGAUGAUCAGCCACACUGGGACUGAGACACGGCCCAGACUCCUACGGGAGGAAGCAGUGGGGAAUAUUGGACGAUGGGCGAAAGCCUGAUCCAGCAAUGCCGCGUGAGUGAUGAAGGCCUUAGGGUUGUAAAGCUCUUUUACCCGGGAUGAUAAUGACAGUACCGGGAGAAUAAGCCCCGGCUAACUACGUG